RNAcentral lists this transfer RNA (86 nucleotides) under Candidatus Saccharimonadota bacterium. RNAcentral describes it as "tRNA-Leu". It matches the Rfam family "tRNA". Rfam says of the family: Transfer RNA (tRNA) molecules are approximately 80 nucleotides in length. Their secondary structure includes four short double-helical elements and three loops (D, anti-codon, and T loops). The record is from RNAcentral. Lineage: Bacteria; Candidatus Saccharimonadota. RNAcentral also lists the same sequence under 1 other name.
GCCGCGGUGGUGGAAUGGUAGACACGCUAGACUCAAAAUCUGGUGUCAGCAAUGACGUGCCGGUUCAAGUCCGGCUCGCGGUACCA